RNAcentral lists this ribosomal RNA (468 nucleotides) under uncultured bacterium. RNAcentral's name for it is "partial 16S ribosomal RNA". It matches the Rfam family "Bacterial small subunit ribosomal RNA", at positions 28 to 507 of the family's 1533-position model. The record is from RNAcentral.
GACGAACGCUGGCGGCGUGCUUAACACAUGCCAGUCGAACGGAAAGGCCCUGCUUUUGUGGGGUGCUCGAGUGGCGAACGGGUGAGUAACACGUGAGUAACCUGCCCUUGACUUUGGGAUAACUUCAGGAAACUGGGGCUAAUCUCGGAUAGGAGCUCCUGCUGCAUGGUGGGGGUUGGAAAGUUUCGGCGGUUGGGGAUGGACUCGCGGCUUAUCAGCUUGUUGGUGGGGUAGUGGCUUACCAAGGCUUUGACGGGUAGCCGGCCUGAGAGGGUGACCGGCCACAUUGGGACUGAGAUACGGCCCAGACUCCUACGGGAGGCAGCAGUGGGGAAUAUUGCACAAUGGGCGGAAGCCUGAUGCAGCAACGCCGCGUGCGGGAUGACGGCCUUCGGGUUGUAAACCGCUUUCGCCUGUGACGAAGCGUGAGUGACGGUAAUGGGUAAAGAAGCACCGGCUAACUACGUG